This 253-nucleotide long non-coding RNA is filed under the name Prunus persica (peach). RNAcentral describes it as "long non-coding RNA (PPER_LNC007998)". Lineage: Eukaryota; Viridiplantae; Streptophyta; Magnoliopsida; Rosales; Rosaceae. The record is from RNAcentral.
AUAUAUUUUGUAUAUGCUUUGUUAACAGGUUGAAAUUUUGGGAAAUGAUCAAAUUACAGGGGAGGCACUGCCAAAUUUUCGACAGAAGUUGAACUUGUAAUAAACCUUGAAUUUUAAUUAGAGGGGCAAUUUAGUCAUUCGUGCCCAGCACCUGCCAGGUGUCGAACACGCACAGGGUUCAGCUCGGAUUCCAAAGUGGAAUUUGGGUCGGGUCUUGUCAACUUGGUAUCAGAGCAUUAGGUGUAAAUUCUUG